Solea senegalensis (Senegalese sole) is the source of this 1713-nucleotide long non-coding RNA. RefSeq lists it as uncharacterized. The transcript is spliced from 2 exons. NCBI's taxonomy places the organism in Eukaryota, Metazoa, Chordata, Actinopteri, Pleuronectiformes, Soleidae. The record is from RefSeq and is a predicted model, not a curated record.
GGGGAGCUACGGAAGGAGGGUGUGUGUGUAGAUCUAGUGAUUGAGUGGGGAAGGAGGUGGAAGAAGAAUUUAGGCAAAGCAGUGGCAGGGAACUGGAAGGACGCAGCAGACAUGGGAGGAUGGGAGGAGAGGUGGGGAGGUGGGAGGGGGCGAAUGGAGAGAGGGCUUUUCCUCACCCCCUAAAUGGAAGCUGCUAACGCUUUAGCAGCAACAAUGCAAACCAGCUGAUUGAAACAACAACAACAACAACAACAUCUUUGGGGUGAACUUAAUCAAAAGGGAGACUGGGAGUGGUGGGUUUUGGAACCUGUCGGGUGGAGCUGUAGACUGGGGGACUGUAGAAGUGACACACGCAGGUUCUCCUUGGAAACGUCGCUGAACGCAACUGCCUUCCAUUCUUUUUCCUGUCACUCAGAGGUGGGGGGGACUGUGGUUACACAGGCAGCCUCUCUCCCCCUUUCUACCCCAGGCCUGCACAUGUAGCAUUCCAGAGUUUUCCAGUGACGAUCCAAAAAAGCAUGCUGGACAACGUUGACUUACACCUUAGACGCCUUAGGAUAAGUGUCCACUUGCCAGGAUAGGUGAGCAUCAGGAACAUGGGCACCACAGUCAUCACCCUUGAGGAUGUGCGGGCACUGGAGGUUAAGGAGGAGCAGGAGGAGUCCAUCUUGGCCAUGUUAGGCAUCAUAGGCACAUUCCUCAAUCUCUUUGUUAUUGUUUUUGUUUACAUCUAUACAACACUCUGAAGAGACAAAUCUGAUAAGCAGUGGAGGUUAAUUAGAAAGAGAAAUCUGACAUGAACAUCUUCCCCAAAGAGAGGAGGAAGAGUGGAAUGGAUUGUCUGGCUAAGGAUGAAGACAAUGAAGCCAUAUUUCCAAGUCAAAGAUAUGAGUCUGGGAGAUAACAAAGGGCUAGAAGAUCUGACAAGAGUGGAGCGAAACCGGACAGACACUAGCGGGCCCCCAGCCAGUACUGACCCAUAUGUGGCCUGACAGGAAAUACAAACUUCCCCUUUGUUGGAUUCACUGGAAAGAUGAGCCAACAACACAGCCCUGGGGGACACAACACUGAUGUUUUUCCAUUUAUUUUAUACUCAAUUUUCAAGCUGACGGGACAGUAAUUGCUACUUUCCAGGAAGAGCUUUUAGGCAACAUGUUCAUGUUUCAGAGCAGGAUCUGUGACUACAGUUGGACACCAAAUUCAAUCAGUCUUUGGGGCCAAAAUUGUCUUGCUUCAGGGCUCCUGUCAAAAAAGUGUGCUUCCCCCAGAAAUGUGGCUUUGGACAAGCUUUGUGUACCGUCAUCUCCUUUAAAUAAUAACAGCUACAACAAUUAUAUCUUAUUUAAAAAAAUAAAUAAAAUCAAUCUGAAAUGAGAACAAAAAGAGGGUGGGGAGUGGGAGAAUGCUGUUACAGUAAGACAGUCGAGAAACUGGGAGAACAAGAUAUAUGUCAUAUUAUUUAUUUAGUUAUUUCUUCGGCUGUACCUCUGCCCAGCUUCUCAAGCUGAUUUGUGGGAGGGGACUGAAAAAUCCUCUUGGUAUAUUUGUUAAUUUUGAUUUGGGAGUAAUGACAGCAAACCUUUUCCUGUAUUACAAAGGCUUUUUUUAAAAAGAAAUAAAUAAAAAAAAAAAAAAUGAAUAUUUGAAUAAAAUGUCACGAUGUAUUGUGCAACAUGAGACAUUUGAACAAUAAACAUCAGAGCACAUUAUGAA